This 488-nucleotide ribosomal RNA is filed under the name uncultured archaeon. RNAcentral describes it as "bacterial SSU rRNA". It matches the Rfam family "Archaeal small subunit ribosomal RNA", at positions 371 to 859 of the family's 1478-position model. The record is from RNAcentral.
CGGGGGGAUCCCAAGUGCCAUUCUUAACGGGAUGGCUUUUCAUUAGUGUAAAGAGCUUUUGGAAUAAGAGCUGGGCAAGACCGGUGCCAGCCGCCGCGGUAACACCGGCAGCUCUAGUGGUAACAAUUUUUAUUGGGCCUAAAGCGUCCGUAGCCGGUUUAAUAAGUCUCUGGUGAAAUCCUGUAGCUUAACUGUGGGAAUUGCUGGAGAUACUAUUAGACUUGAGAUCGGGAGAGGUUAGAGGUACUCCCAGGGUAGAGGUGAAAUUCUGUAAUCCUGGGAGGACCGCCUGUUGCGAAGGCGUCUAGCUGGAACGAUUCUGACGGUGAGGGACGAAAGUUAGGGGCGCGAACCGGAUUAGAUACCCGGGUAGUCCUAACUGUAAACGAUGCGGACUUGGUGUUGGGGUGGCUUUGAGCUGCUCCAGUGCCGAAGGGAAGCUGUUAAGUCCGCCGCCUGGGAAGUACGGUCGCAAGACUGAAACUUAA